This 329-nucleotide unclassified non-coding RNA is filed under the name soil metagenome. Its description in RNAcentral is "partial contains 5.8S ribosomal RNA, internal transcribed spacer 2, and large subunit ribosomal RNA". The stretch from base 1 to 120 matches the Rfam family "5.8S ribosomal RNA", at positions 35 to 154 of the family's 154-position model. The record is from RNAcentral.
GAUGAAGAACGUAGCGAAAUGCGAUAAGUAAUGUGAAUUGCAGAAUUCAGUGAAUCAUCGAAUCUUUGAACGCACAUUGCGCCCCCUGGUAUUCCGGGGGGCAUGCCUGUUCGAGCGUCAUUACAACCCUCAAGCUCUGCUUGGUAUUGGGCCCCGCCAGUUCUGGCGGGCCCUAAAGUCAGUGGCGGUGCCUUCCGGCUCCGAGCGUAGUAAUUCUUCUCGCUCUGGAGACCCGGUUGUGUGCUUGCCAACAACCCCCAAUUUUUUAAGGUUGACCUCGGAUCAGGUAGGGAUACCUGCUGAACUUAAGCAUAUCAAUAAGCGGAGGA